Long non-coding RNA from Meriones unguiculatus (Mongolian gerbil), 1214 nucleotides. RefSeq lists it as uncharacterized. Lineage: Eukaryota; Metazoa; Chordata; Mammalia; Rodentia; Muridae. The record is from RefSeq and is a predicted model, not a curated record. The transcript has 3 exons.
CAGGAAAGAAAGGCGGGUCUUCAACAGCUCGGAGGGCCUAGGCUUCAGACACCACCUCUCGCCCAGGGAGGGUUGGGAAGCUGAGCAGUCAGGGCAACUGAGGAGGCAGCGCCUGGGAAGGGCGGCGGCAGCUGAGGUGGCUUUUAAAAGAGACUCAGAAGAGACUGACCAGCCCGAAGAGGCAAUGGCCAGCGACAACAUAGACUGUUCCUGCUUUCCAGAAAAACAAGAGUCCGUGAGCCAACUCCGACUUGGGCCCGCCGCCCUGCUGCCGGAUGAUUGCCUGCCGUUCGGGAAGUCGGGAGUUCGCCAACACGGCACCCAGCACCUUUGUCCCCCUCCUCGCUCUCCCGGGGCGCCGGGGAGAAAUGGGGCGGGGGAGGACUUCCAACUCGGUUUCCGAGGCUUCCCUCCACCACCUUCCAAACCCACUCUCUCGAAUCGGCGUUUUGUUCUAGCCAGCCACGUGUUGGUCGGGCUUUUUGUUUUUGUGACAUUUUUUCCCUCCCAGGAAGCAACAGGGAUUUAAAUAUUACGAGCUAUUCGUUGCUAUGUAGUGGGGAGAAAAAAAAAUUGUUUUCUGUCCGCGAAGGUGGGAGACGUCCGCGCCUCGGUCCCCCCACACGCCUUCCCCGGCAUCCCCCAGCCCCCACUGACAUCGCAUUUUGUCAGCUCUUGAUCACAGCGUGAUUUUUUUAACAAACUGAGGCAGUGAGCUGGAAACGGAGACUGCCGCAUAGUAGGCACUCAGAGCAAACGGUUCCGAAUGAAAAAGCAAACUACAGAGUAAAGAGGGUUCGAGAAAAUUAAAAGUCCAGUGGGGAGGGAGGGAUUCACUUGGCUCGAAUGUGUGAUCUGUUGCCUGGGCACUUUCCUUAGUGAUGUGUGUGGAUUUUUGAAAAGGGCUGAGAGAUGGCCUCAGGAGCUGUCUGUAACAGCCUUUGGGUCUUCAUAAUAGUAACCCUGUCUCCAAAUCUUUUGUUAUCUUGGGGGACAAGGAAGAAUGUACCUCGGCACGACAUCCCAGCUCCAAAAAAAAAAAUUUAGGUGCGAUUUGCUUCAUUUACUUUAAAUCUUCUGGGUUGAUCAAAACACUUCUCAGAUAAUCCCCCCUGGGUAACCUAACCACUACUCGCUUUCUUCCUAAAACAAAAGCAACUUAACCCUCAAAAACACCACCCAGACUUACAAGCUUCUGCAAAAUGCAGCCCAUC